CGAGUGUCGACUACCGGACAAAUGCUCUAAUGUUAAUAGAUGUGUAAAAUUCCCGGAGAAUGAGUGUUACGCCCAAUCCCUUUUAUUAUUGUGGUUUGUACAACUAGCUGUGACUAACGAACGAUUGGUAUAACCUCAACAAACAGUAUCAGUAUGGUUUGUGUAGUAAGGCAUGAUGUUUAUCAACUGGUCUUGACAAUAUGCAUGUUUGUAGUCUCUGUCAAUGGUGUUGCACAGACAGCAAUAUCUUGUGGUGAAUCUGAAGGAGUUGUAGGACAGCCACAAGUCCUAAGUUGUAGUAUUUCUGGUAGUAUAGAAAACAAUAUAUUCUGGUAUCGUUAUAAUGCAACUUAUAACGAGAAUAUAGUUCAAUGUUCUACUUCAUUGGCCAAAACUGUUAGUACAUGUGUAGCACCACCUGAUUUAAGAUCUCGGUAUAAUGUUAGCACUGAGAAACAACCCCCAAGAAAGCCAUCAUUUACAAUUAUCUCUGUAUCAGAGGAAGAUUUAGAAGUAUUGUGGUUAUGUUUGGACAGGAUUACGUUCCCAGAUAGAGCAUCAAUACCGUAUUCUUCAACAUGCAGUUUAAAACAAGGACCUGCACCUGAUCGACAAUGCAGUUGGGAAGGUGGUGUGGCAUUUAUCUGUGAUUUUGUUGCUGGUGUUGUUGUUUUCUUGGUGAUAAUCUUUGUUAUUAAACCAGAUCUUGCUACCCAGUUCAAGAUUGUUGUCAUGGUUAUUUUUGCUGUUGCAUCUGGAAUUCUUGCUGCUGGAUCUUCCCCAGCAUGUAAUAAUGGUAUAUCAGUUGGUGGAAUAGUUGGUAUCAAUAUCGGCUGUAUGCUCGCUGUAUUUAUAAUAACAAUUCUAGUUAUGAGAGCCGCUUGUUAAUAAACUGAAAUGACUGAAAGAUGAACAAGUAGUUUUCAUCAUAUGAAGAAAUUAAAGACAUAGCAGAAUAAUUUACAUUUAGACAAACUGGCAUUAUUUAAAUAGAGUCUAGCUGCCAUAUUCCGCAUAAAAGAAAACUUGAAAUAAAUUUCAAAAAUUAAUUUGUUUUAAUAACAAAUUUUUAUCUGAAUUUAGAAGAAAACGCUUUUGCCCGAUUAAUCCUUUCUGUUUGGUUGGAUGAAUAUCAGACAUAUUACUUUAAACUUUGAACAGAACAGUAGGACAUUAAACCCCAUUUUAUUUCAUUUAAACAUUGAAUUUUAAUUCAACAUUUUCUUUUUACUGGAAUUUUAAAUUAUUAUAAAACAACACUACAGACCUACAGCAGAAUUAUUUCUUAUAUUUACAGUACGUUACAAUACAGUACAAACUUGAAUGAUUGAACAGUUCAUUAGAUACCAUCAUAACACCAUGGUUGCUGUGUCAUGUCAUGUCUCUUUCUUCCUAUCUACAUGUUGAUAGGUUGGACUUUAAACUGUCUAUAUGUUGUCAGUAUGUCUGCACUAAUUUUUAUACGCCCACAUUUUCAUGUGGACGUAUAUAUUGUCGUCGCCCCUGUCAAACCGUCCGUCCACAAUUGAUUUUGGACACUCUACAUGUCACAAUUCUUAUCCGAUUUUGACGAAACUUGAAAUAUAGGUUUAUCUCCAAAAGAUCUUGGUCGCUUUACAUAUUGGCAUGUAUCGGAUCGAAACUUCAUGGAUUAUGGCCCCCGAUUGUACGAAAAAAUCAUGUUUUUAGCUUGUGGAACCUAUAGAGGUCACAAUUUUUAUCCGAUUUUGUUGAAACUUGAAAUGUAAGUUUAUAUUCGAGAAUAUCGGACCGUAACUUCCUGAAUCAUGGCCCCUGAUUGUACGAAAAAUCGCGUUUUUAGCUUGUGGACCCUAUAGAGGUCAUAAUUUUUAUCUGAUUUAACAAACCGUUGUAGUAUUUCACCGUUACAUCCUAAGGAUGGUUGAGUUCGAAUUUCGUGAAAAUCGGCCCAAAACUGACAGACAAAAUGGCCGGCCCUCGUUCUCAAAUGGCGUAAAAAUAUGCUGUAUCAAGGUUCUGGACCCUAUAGAGGUCACAAUUUUUAUCCGAUUUUGUUGAAACUUGAAAUGUAAGUUUAUAACCCAAAGAUCUCGGUUCCUGUCGAUAUUCGUGCAUUACGAACCGUAACUUCCUGAAUUAUGGCCCUAAUUGUCCGAAAAAUCGCAUUUUUAGCUUGUGGACCCUAUAGAGGUCAUAAUUUUUAUCCCAUUUAAAAAACCGUAUUAUUAUAUCACCGUUACACCCUAAGGACGGCUGAGUUAGAAUUUCAUGAAAAUCGGACCUAAACUGACAGACAAAAUGGCCACCCCUCGUACUCAAAUAGCAUAAAAAGAUGUUGUGGACCCUCUAGAGGUUACAAUUUUCUUUUGAUAUUGAUGAAACUUGAAAUAUAAGUUUAUAACUCAAAGAUCUUGGUUCCUUUCGAUAAUCGCUCAUAGUAACUUACUUCCUGAAUUAUGGCCCCUGAUUGUACGAAAAACCGCGUUUUUAAAAAAAACGUUCAAAUAUAUCACUGUUACACGGUAUUUCUGGCUGAGUUCGAAUUUUAUGAAAAUCAGACCAAAACUGCCGGACAAAAUGGCCACCCCUCGUACACAAUUAGCGUAAAAAUAUGGUAUAUCAAUGUUGUGGACCCUCUAGAGGUCACAAUUUUCUUCUGAUUUUGAUGAAACUUGAAAUGUAAGUUUAUAACCCAAAGAUUGCUUUCGAUAUCCGUGCAUAUCGAAUCGUAACGUCCUGAAUUAUGGCCCUUGAUUGAACAAAAAAAUCAUGUUUUUAGCUUGUGAUCCCUGUAGAGGUCACAAUUUUUAUCUGAUUUAAAAAAAAUGUGUGAAUAUAUCACCAUUACACACGAAGAUCUUGGAUCCUUUUGAUAAUCGCGGAUACCUGAACUUAACUUCCUGGAUAAUGGCCCCUGAUUGUUUGAAAAGUGGCAUUUUCAGCUUGCGGAUUCUCUAGAGGUCACAAUUUUUUUUCCGAUUUUAAAUAACGUUCAAAUAUUUCACCACCAUAAUGAAGGUUGAAUUCGAAUUUCGGGAAAAUCGAAAUGAACCUGCCCAACAAAAUGGCCGCUCUUUGUACACAAAUUGUGUAAAAGUAUGCAAUACGAAGGUUGUCAACUCUCUACAGGUCACAAUUUUUGUCCGAUUCUGAUGAAACUAAACAUAUCUUUAUAUCCCAAAGAUCUCAGUCCCUUUUGAUAUUUGCGCAUUUCAGACCAUAACUGUCUGGAUUAUUGCUCUUGAUUGUACAAAAAAUCCUGUUUGUUUUUAGCUUGUUCUCUAUCCAUCUCUUGCAAAAUGUGGACGUAUCCUGCCUUUAAACCUGUUUAAAUGGUGCUUCAAAAAAAAAAAUUUACAAGCAAAUAAUGUUUAAUUGCUUUUCUCAAAAGCUUUUAAUUCCAAAUUUUUACCUGGAUAUUUAUCAGUAAAACAAAAAAUGAAAUAACCACGACCACAGCCUAAUCUUUUUAAUAGACCUGUACGUCAUGUAUUUAUUUAUGAUUGUUUAUGAUUAUUUAUGAAGUAAAGCGAAACACAAAUUAAACAAUUAAAAUUAUUAUUUAAUGCUUUAUUUAAUAAUCUUUAUGAUGACAUUUGUUAAUAAUUUGUACCUUUUUUCACAUUUUUAUGUACAAAAUAUUCUUGUUAAUUUUUUUUAUAUAAAAUUAGUUAAAUUUAUUUCCAAGAAGUAUUUGUUGGUUUUUUGUUUUUUUUUAAAGUUUUUAUAACUCUUAUUUAAUCAUUAUGCAUAAUUUAGGCCUAAGUGAGUUAUCUUGCCUUUUCUUGCUUUAAGUUCCAAUAUAUUAACAAUACCAAUCAAUGUACCCGGUGUUUACUUAUCCUGCUUCAAGUUUCAAUAUAUUAACAAGUGAUUAUAAUACCCUCAACCUGCUGCAAGUUUCAAUAUAGAUUAUAAUACCUGUCAGGGUAGCUAUUGAUGAUUUUUGAGAGCUCUUCUUCCGCAGUAUUCAGUCAUUGAAAAUAUUUAACAACAUUUUGAAUAAAUUAUAUAUGGAAGCAUGUAUUGUUUUAUUAUAUCAAUCAAAUUAAACAAUUAAAACAUUCACGCUGAAAGCUCAAUUUUCAUAUUAUUGUGCCAUAUGUCUAUAAGCUAGUUUUUUUAUGAUUUAAUGUAUGUCAAAAUGAAGUAAAGUGGAGAAUUUUUUACCUGGAUGUAUUUUUUAUUUAUUUAUGCAUUUAUCUACCGUAAACAUACAAGUAUUUGAACUUUAUUUAUUUGAAUAUACAUAUAUAUAUAUAUAUAAUAUAUUAUGUGUAAUAAUCAUAUUUAAUAUGAUCUAAAAAUAAUAUUUAUCUUGCUAUUUCUUUUUCUUAAUGAGACAAAAAGUCAGAUUUACAAUCAUGCCCAAAACAAAAAUUUUAUUAAAACAAAUUGAUGUUUAUUGUUUUAUUAAAUCAGUCAAAUAAACAAAUAACAUACAUUAUGCAAGAGCUAAAUCUGCCUAUUACAGGUCUUACUUUAGGCCUGAAAUGGUAUCUAAAUUAUCAAUUAGACAUCUAUUAACUUAUCCAGAUCAUAAUCAACUCUCGAUGUCAUCGCUAGUCUGCGAUGGUUAUUGGAUUAGGUUCCGAUUUGCUGUUCGACUUCCAUUGAUGAUUUAAUCAUGAAAUGGAUAAUUGAGACCAAUUUUUUUUUAUCGUACCGACUUUAGUAAUGAUGAUCGAGGCUAGUCCGAAAAUUCAAUCACUAAAAUCUCGGUUCAGAGUGGAUCACUUUGACUGAAAUUGUCAGCAAAUUGCCUUUACAUUAUCUAGUUUUUAUACGCCCACAUUGAAAUGUGGUCGUAUAUUGUCGUCGCCCCCAUCCGUCCGGCGGUCCGGCGUCCACAAGUUAAUAUCCGAUUGACUUUAAAUUUAUACACAGUGUUUAAGGCCAUGAGACGAAGAAGCCUAUUGAUUUUCAGCGAUUUCCGAUAAUUACUGCCAAAGUUAUGGCCCUUGAUCACUUAAAAAAUUGUUGUGGACGUUCUAGAGGCCAAAGUUAAUAUCCGAUUGACUUUAAAUUUAUACACAGUGUUUAAGGCCAUGAGACGAAGAAGCCUAUUGAUUUUCAGCGAUUUCCGAUAAUUACUGCCAAAGUUAUGGCCCUUGAUCACUUCAAAAAAUGUUGUGGACGUUCUAGAGGCCAAAGUUAAUAUCAGAUUGACUUUAAAUUUAUACACAGUGUUUAAGGCCAUGAGACGAAGAAGCAUAUUGAUUUUCAGCGAUUUCCGAUAAUUACUGCCAGAGUUAUGGCCCUUGAUCACUUCAAAAAAUCUUGUGGACGCUCUGGAGGCCAAAGUUAAUAUCCGAUUGACUUUUAAAUUUAUACACAGUGUUUAAGGCCAUGAAACGAAGAAGCCUAUUGAUUUUCAGCGAUUUCUGAUAAUUACUGCCAAAGUUAUGGCCCUUGAUUACUUCAAAAAAUCUUGUGGAUGCUCUAGAGGCCAAAGUUAAUAUCCGAUUGACUUUAAAUUUAUACACAGUGUUUAAGGUCAUGCGACGAAGAAACCUAUUGAUUUUCACUGAUUUCCGAUAAUUACUGCCAGAGUUAUGGCCCUUGAUCACUUUGAAAAAUCUUGUGGACGCUCUAGAGGCCAAAGUUAAUAUCCGAUUGACUUUAAAUCUACAUACAGUGUUUAAGACCAUGAGACGAAGAAGGCUAUUGAUUUUCAACGAUUUCCGAUAAUUACUGCCAGAGUUAUGGCCCUUGAUCACUUCAAAAAAUCUUGUGGACAUUCUAGGGGCCAAAGUUAAUAUCCGAUUGAAUUUAAAUUUAUACACAGUGUUUAAGGCCAUGAGACGAAGAAUCCUAUUGAUUUUCAGCAAUUUCCGAUAAUUACUGCCAAAGUUAUGGCCCUUGAUCACUUCAAAAAAUCUUGUGGACGCUCUAGAGGCCAAAGUUAAUAUCCGAUUGACUUUAAAUUUAUAUACAGUGUUUAAGGCCAUGAGACGAAGAAGACUAUUGAUUUUCAGCAAUUUCCGAUAAUUACUGCCAGAGUUAUGGCCCUUGAUCACUUCAAAAAAUCUUGUGGACACCUUAGAGGCCAAAGUUAAUAUCAGAUUUACUUUAAAUUUAUACACAGUGUUUAAGACCAUGAGACGAAGAAGCCUAUUGAUUUUCAGCGAUUUCUGAUAAUUUUUGCCAGAGUUAUGGCCCUUGAUCACUUUGAAAAAUCUUGUGGACACUCUAGAGGUCAAAGUUAAUAUCCGAUUGACUUCAAAUUUAUACACAGUGUUUAAGGUCAUUAGAUGAAGAAUUCUAUUGAUUUUCAGCGAUUUCCGAUAAUUACUGCCAGAGUUAUGGCCCUUGAUCACUUCAAAAAAUCUUGUGGACGCCUUAGAGGCCAAAGUUAAUAUCAGAUUGACUUUAAAUUUAUACACAGUGUUUAAGACCAUGAGACGAAGAAGCCUAUUGAUUUUCAGCGAUUUCUGAUAAUUUUUGCCAGAGUUAUGGCCCUUGAUCACUUUGAAAAAUCUUGUGGACACUCUAGAGGUCAAAGUUAAUAUCCGAUUGACUUUAAAUUUAUACACAGUGUUUAAGGUCUUGAGAAAAAUCUUGUGGAUGCUCUAGAGGCUAAAGUUAAUAUUCGAUUGACUUUAAAUUUAUACACAGUGUUUGAGGCCAUGAGCUGAAGAAUCAUAUUGAUUUUCAAAGUGAUCAAGUUAUGGCCCUUGAUCACUUUGAAAAAUCUUGUGACGCUCUAGAGACUAAAGUUAUCAUCUGAUUGACUUCAGAUUGAUACACAGAGUUUAAGGUCUUGAGACAAACAAGUAUAUUGAUUUUCAAUGAAUCUUUAUGACUUGAACAGCUAAAUGCAUGAUGUUAAAAGUUUCGUAUACCAAACGUUAUCAUGGGGCAGAACUAAUGGUUUUCUGAUAAUUACUUAAUGAGUUGUUACUCUUAAUCAGAUUUUAAUGUAUUAUAUAUGUUUCAUUACCGAAAAAAGUAAAAAUAUGCGACAACUCUUGUUGACUGCCCGGACGAUAUAGCUGCUGUGGGCGUAUGUUUCGUUGCCUGGCAACCUAUCUUUAACUAUUAUAGUGAGAACUGCCAGUUCUUUAUCUAAUCUCAUAUAAUGUAUGUUUAAGACAUUCAUGGUUAAUCCAUUGUAUAUAUAUUGUCAUAUAUAGUGUCAUAUGUAGAUAUAUUAUUAACACCUGAAGAUGUCUAUAGAGGGCAGAUAGAUAGAUUGCGAUUUGGUGUAUAUCAAAAUAAAGUAAAGUGCUUGAUUUU
Molecule: long non-coding RNA, 7221 nt
Organism: Patella vulgata (common limpet)
Lineage: Eukaryota; Metazoa; Mollusca; Gastropoda; Patellidae
Exons: 7
Source: RefSeq, a predicted model, not a curated record